GAUGAACGCUAGCUACAGGCUUAACACAUGCAAGUCGAGGGGAAACGAUAGAGAAAGCUUGCUUUUUCUAGGCGUCGACCGGCGCACGGGUGAGUAACGCGUAUCCAACCUGCCCAUCACUUUGGGAUAACCUUGCGCAAGUAAGACUAAUACCCAAUGAUAUCUCUAGAAGACAUUUGAAGGAGAUUAAAGAUUUAUCGGUGAUGGAUGGGGAUGCUCCUGAUUAGCUUGUUGGCGGAGUAACGGCCCACCAAGGCGACGAGCAGUAGGGGUUCUGGAAGGAAGGUCCCCCACAUUGGAACUGAGACACGGUACAAACUCCUACGGGAGGCAGCAGUGAGGAAUAUUGGUCAAUGGGAGAGAGCCUGAACCAGCCAAGUAGCGUGCAGGAUGACGGCCCUAUGGGUUGUAAACUGCUUUUAUAAGGGAAUAAAGUGAGUCUCGUGAGGCUUUUUGCAUGUACCUUAUGAAUAAGGACCGGCUAAUUCCGUGCCAGCAGCCGCCGUAA
Molecule: ribosomal RNA, 508 nt
Filed under: uncultured bacterium
Lineage: Bacteria
Description: partial 16S ribosomal RNA
Rfam family: Bacterial small subunit ribosomal RNA
Source: RNAcentral